CAAAGGUGAGCCAGUACAGGAUGGACCCGCGUCUGAUUAGCUAGUUGGUAAGGUAACGGCUUACCAAGGCGACGAUCAGUAGCCGACCUGAGAGGGUGAUCGGCCACAUUGGAACUGAGACACGGUCCAAACUCCUACGGGAGGCAGCAGUGGGGAAUAUUGCACAAUGGGCGAAAGCCUGAUGCAGCAACGCCGCGUGAGUGAUGAAGGCCUUCGGGUCGUAAAACUCUGUCCUCAAGGAAGAUAAUGAUGGUACUUGAGGAGGAAGCCCCGGCUAACUACGUGCCAGCAGCCGCGGUAAUACGUAGGGGGCUAGCGUUAUCCGGAUUUACUGGGCGUAAAGGGUGCGUAGGCGGUCUUUCAAGUCAGGAGUGAAAGGCUACGGCUCAACCGUAGUAAGCUCUUGAAACUGGGAGACUUGAGUGCAGGAGAGGAGAGUGGAAUUCCUAGUGUAGCGGUGAAAUGCGUAGAUAUUAGGAGGAACACCAGUUGCGAAGGCGGCUCUCUGGACUGUAACUGACGCUGAGGCACGAAAGCGUGGGGAGCAAACAGGAUUAGAUGCCCUGGUAGUCCACGCUGUAAACGAUGAGUACUAGGUGUCGGGGGUUACCCCCUUCG
This 618-nucleotide ribosomal RNA is filed under the name uncultured bacterium. RNAcentral describes it as "bacterial SSU rRNA". It matches the Rfam family "Bacterial small subunit ribosomal RNA", at positions 202 to 842 of the family's 1533-position model. The record is from RNAcentral.